GUCUCCUUGAAGAUAUAAGGAGUCUGACCUGCCCACUGAAUUAUUAAAGGGCCGCGGUAUUUCUGACCGUGCGAAGGUAGCAUAAUCAUUAGUCUUUUAAUUGAAGGCUUGUAUGAAAGGUUGGACGAGAGAAAAGCUGUCUCAAUCAAAAUUUUGAAAUUAACUUUUGAGUGAAAAGGCUCAAAUAUAUUGAAAAGACGAUAAGACCCUAUAAAUCUUAAUAUUAAUAUAAAUUAAACUCUUGAUUUGUAAGUCAAUAAGAGUAUUAGAUUGAUAAUAUUUUGUUGGGGCGACAAAAAUAUAGAAUAAUCAACUGUUUUAUUUUUAAUACAAUUCUUUUUGUAUAAGAGAUCCUUUCUAAAGAUUAAAAGAUCAAGUUACUUUAGGGAUAACAGCGUUAUUUUCCUUGAGAGUCCAUAUCGAAAGGAAAGAUUGCGACCUCGAUGUUGAAUUAAAAUAUCUUUGUGGUGCAGCAGCUACGAAAGAAAGUCUGUUCGACUUUUAAAAUUUU
RNAcentral lists this ribosomal RNA (511 nucleotides) under Dardanus guttatus. Its description in RNAcentral is "partial 16S ribosomal RNA". It matches the Rfam family "Bacterial large subunit ribosomal RNA", at positions 1819 to 2597 of the family's 2925-position model. The record is from RNAcentral. Lineage: Eukaryota; Metazoa; Arthropoda; Malacostraca; Decapoda; Diogenidae.